UAGGGAAUCUUCGGCAAUGGACGAAAGUCUGACCGAGCAACGCCGCGUGAGUGAAGAAGGUUUUCGGAUCGUAAAACUCUGUUGUUAGAGAAGAACAAUGACGUUAGUAACUGAACGUCCCCUGACGGUAUCUAACCAGAAAGCCACGGCUAACUACGUGCCAGCAGCCGCGGUAAUACGUAGGUGGCAAGCGUUGUCCGGAUUUAUUGGGCGUAAAGCGAGCGCAGGCGGUUUCUUAAGUCUGAUGUGAAAGCCCCUGGCUCAACCGGGGAGGGUCAUUGGAAACUGGGAGACUUGAGUGCAGAAGAGGAGAGUGGAAUUCCAUGUGUAGCGGUGAAAUGCGUAGAUAUAUGGAGGAACACCAGUGGCGAAGGCGGCUCUCUGGUCUGUAACUGACGCUGAGGCUCGAAAGCGUGGGGAGCAAACAGG
Molecule: ribosomal RNA, 429 nt
Filed under: Gemmatimonadota bacterium
Lineage: Bacteria; Pseudomonadati; Gemmatimonadota
Description: Gemmatimonadetes bacterium partial 16S ribosomal RNA
Rfam family: Bacterial small subunit ribosomal RNA
Source: RNAcentral